ACUGAUAGGAAGGAGUGUGCACUUCCUGUCAGUCCGACCGGUUACAGGAAACAGAAACUCCUGUUCCGCGCGGAAUUUCUGUUUCCUGUAACCGGCCGGACUGACAGGAAGUGCACACUCCUUCCU
This 126-nucleotide microRNA precursor is filed under the name Pelobates cultripes (western spadefoot toad). Lineage: Eukaryota; Metazoa; Chordata; Amphibia; Anura; Pelobatidae. The record is from RNAcentral.